This is a long non-coding RNA of Topomyia yanbarensis, 936 nucleotides long. RefSeq lists it as uncharacterized. The transcript has 3 exons. The record is from RefSeq and is a predicted model, not a curated record. Lineage: Eukaryota; Metazoa; Arthropoda; Insecta; Diptera; Culicidae.
AGCGACUUUAGAGAAAUGGUGAAUGAGUGAGAACACAAGAAAAGGUUUUUGUCGUGGACUAGGCUCACAUUAACCACAGGAUGUAACUCUUGGGUCGCUCAUUUGACAGACGCAGAAACCGGAUUAAUUGCUGUUGACGAUGAGUUUUACGAUAUUAUCAAUGUCUUUUGACAUGAUUGACAAAUCGCAGCUCUGGAUCUAACAGAAUAUUUUAACCCACUUUUGCUCUGAGCAAAAUUUUAACCCACUCUUGCUCUCAGCCUCUUAUUUGGCCUCACCCAUUAACAAAUGGAUAUUGAGUAAUUGUGGUAGCAUUUGUGCAGCAUUGUACCUAACGAUAAUCUUCAUUUCUGUUUGCACGGAUAGUGCAUCGCUAAGCUGCCCGGAAUAUACGGAGGAACCGGUGCAAUGUUUCCAUACGACAGCAAGUGUUUGGCGUUGCCGAAAGAGAACUUUCCCGCCCUCGGGUCGGAAGGAGGGGAAGGUUCAGAAUCAACCAGUAUCAAUGAAGGCUUUAGUAGUAAUAUUACCGCCAGCUUGCUGCUAAAAUUUAAUUAGCCAAGCAACGGCAGUAACAGUGACAGAAACCAGAAAAAAUAGGUCAAGCUGGUUUAGCUCCGAACCAAGUACCAGCAUUAUCCCUGUCUCCAAUCGACCACCGACCGCGACAACUAAUGGGGAGGAAGAAACCCAGUGCAGCGGACUUUCCGGUGUUGGUAGGAACCACUAAGUCGGGCAUUAAGAAAUCCGACUUGUAUGCGGAUCUCGAAGGUAGCAACGGUAUGGUAAAUUUUAACGCUAUGUCAACCGAGAUAUGGUGGAUGAUUACGUGUCCGUUUCUAGCACAGUGUACAAAGUAGGGCAUUGCAAAAUCUCAUAUUGUGAAAAAACCUCAGAAUUUUCCAGGUUCAACAAGUUACAUUUUAUGAAAAUUGA